AUCAAUCCAUACAAUAGACAGAGCUCCUAACCUUAAUAGUAGAGGUUUAGUUGCUCAUGGUUCAAAGAGAAAACUAGGAUUUAGAAAAACUGUAAAGUGCGGAAUGAAGUAGAAGAGAAGAGAAGAGAUUGCCUGAAGGGCUGAUUCUUUUCCCCUUUAUAUCUAAUCAUAAUUAAUGUAAAAUAUAUUUUCUAAAACUAAAUAAUAUCUUUUCCUAUUGUAAAAUAAAAUAAAGUUUAAUCAAAAUUAAUUAAGAAAUCUCAUGUUGGCUCGUUGAGGUGUGGGGACCACUUCAAGUUGCUGAACCUGGCGCCAAACUUGGAGCCAAGUUUGGAGCCACUCUACCCACAUCAUGCAAUUCUUCAACCUGGUGCCAAACUUGGAUUUCCCCAAGUUUGGCACCACCAAGGCAGCAAGCAAGGAAGGCGUUGUGAUGACCAUGUCGCCAAAUUUGAGAUUUCCCAAGUUUGGCGCCACCAAGGCAGUAAUUCCAUAUGAAAGGUGUAGACUAUUAUAUAUCGUUGGAAAGCUCUGGAAGUUGGCGUUCCAAUGCCGCUGGAAUCACGUCAAUUGGACCUCUGUUGUUCAAGUUAUUUCUGUUUGAGUGCAAGGAGGUCAAGGUUGACAGCAUCAUCUACUUUCUUCCUCUUCUUCUACAGAAACUCCAUCAAAUCCAUCCGAAUACUACCUGAAAUAAACAGAAUUGCACACAACUCAAAGUAGCAUUCAUGGUGGCUAAAAGAUAAUGAAAUCUUGAUUGAACUUAACAAUUUGAAUACAAAUUCGGUAGGAAAAGAUAGGAAAGAUGCUCACGCAUCAGCUGAUAGUUCGCAAAAUG
This 838-nucleotide long non-coding RNA is filed under the name Arachis ipaensis. Its description in RNAcentral is "long non-coding RNA (AIPA_LNC002496)". The record is from RNAcentral. Lineage: Eukaryota; Viridiplantae; Streptophyta; Magnoliopsida; Fabales; Fabaceae.